This 372-nucleotide ribosomal RNA is filed under the name uncultured eukaryote. RNAcentral's name for it is "partial 18S ribosomal RNA". It matches the Rfam family "Eukaryotic small subunit ribosomal RNA", at positions 592 to 975 of the family's 1831-position model. The record is from RNAcentral.
CAAUAGCGUAUAUUAAAGUUGUUGCAGUUAAAAAGCUCGUAGUUGGAUUUUUGCUUGCCGCCGAUGUCGGAACUUCCGUACGUUCGGCGGCGUGCAUCCUUGGGUGGAACCUGUGUGGCAUUAGGUUGUCGUGCAGGGGAUGCUCAUCGUUUACUGUGAAAAAAUUAGAGUGUUCAAAGCAGGCUUACGCCGUUGAAUAUAUUAGCAUGGAAUAAUAAGAUAGGACCUUGGUACUAUUUUGUUGGUUUGCGCACCGAGGUAAUGAUUAACAGGGACAGUUGGGGGUAUUCGUAUUCCAUUGUCAGAGGUGAAAUUCUUGGAUUUCUGGAAGACGAACUACUGCGAAAGCAUUUACCAAGGAUGUUUNCAUUA